Molecule: ribosomal RNA, 497 nt
Filed under: uncultured bacterium
Lineage: Bacteria
Description: partial 16S ribosomal RNA
Rfam family: Bacterial small subunit ribosomal RNA
Source: RNAcentral
GAUGAACGCUGGCGGCGUGCCUAAUACAUGCAAGUCGAGCGAACGGACGAGAAGCUUGCUUCUCUGAUGUUAGCGGCGGACGGGUGAGUAACACGUGGAUAACCUACCUAUAAGACUGGGAUAACUUCGGGAAACCGUAGCUAAUACCGGAUAAUAUUUUGAACCGCAUGGUUCAAAAGUGAAAGACGGUCUUGCUGUCACUUAUAGAUGGAUCCGCGCUGCAUUAGCUAGUUGGUAAGGUAACGGCUUACCAAGGCAGCGAUGCAUAGCCGACCUGAGAGGGUGAUCGGCCACACUGGAACUGAGACACGGUCCAGACGCCUACGGGAGGCGGCAGUAGGGAAUCUUCCGCAAUGGGCGAAAGCCUGACGGAGCAACGCCGCGUGAGUGAUGAAGGUCUUCGGAUCGUAAAACUCUGUUAUUAGGGAAGAACAUAUGUGUAAGUAACUGUGCACAUCUUGACGGUACCUAAUCAGAAAGCCACGGCUAACUACGUG